RNAcentral lists this microRNA precursor (61 nucleotides) under Ornithorhynchus anatinus (platypus). Its description in RNAcentral is "Oan-Mir-1-P1_pre stem-loop". It matches the Rfam family "mir-1 microRNA precursor family", at positions 10 to 70 of the family's 79-position model. From Rfam's summary of the family: This family represents the microRNA (miRNA) mir-1 family. miRNAs are transcribed as ~70nt precursors (modelled here) and subsequently processed by the Dicer enzyme to give a ~22nt product. In this case the mature sequence comes from the 3' arm of the precursor. The record is from RNAcentral. Lineage: Eukaryota; Metazoa; Chordata; Mammalia; Monotremata; Ornithorhynchidae.
ACAUACUUCUUUAUGUACCCAUAUGAACAUAAAAAGCUAUGGAAUGUAAAGAAGUAUGUAU